Molecule: ribosomal RNA, 474 nt
Filed under: Myxococcales bacterium
Lineage: Bacteria; Pseudomonadati; Myxococcota; Myxococcia; Myxococcales
Description: partial 23S ribosomal RNA
Rfam family: Bacterial large subunit ribosomal RNA
Source: RNAcentral
CGGAUAAAAGGUACUCCGGGGAUAACAGGCUUAUCUCCUCCAAGAGUUCACAUCGACGAGGAGGUUUGGCACCUCGAUGUCGGCUCAUCGCAUCCUGGGGCUGGAGCAGGUCCCAAGGGUUUGGCUGUUCGCCAAUUAAAGCGGUACGCGAGCUGGGUUCAAAACGUCGUGAGACAGUUUGGUCCCUAUCUUCCGUGGGCGUAGGAGGCUUGAGAGGAUCUGACCUUAGUACGAGAGGACCGGGUUGGACGCACCUCUGGUGUACCAGUUGUCACGCCAGUGGCAUCGCUGGGUAGCCAUGUGCGGAUUGGAUAACCGCUGAAAGCAUCUAAGCGGGAAACCGACCUCAAGAUUUGGCCUCCCGGGGGCAACCCCCUGAAGACCCGAUGGAGACUACGUCGUUGAUAGGCCGGAUGUGUAAGCGCGGUAACGCGUUCAGCUAACCGGUACUAAUCGGUCGUGAGGCUUACAUUA